Molecule: long non-coding RNA, 650 nt
Filed under: Homo sapiens (human)
Lineage: Eukaryota; Metazoa; Chordata; Mammalia; Primates; Hominidae
Description: HSALNT0148806
Source: RNAcentral
GUUUGCUCCACUUGAGGAUACAGAGCACCCCGGCAGCAGUGAGUGAGUUCUUGUGAGAUCUGGUUGCUUAAAAGUGUGUGGCACCCCCUCAACUCUGCUGCUUCUGCUUUCAUCAUGUGAAGUGCCUGCUCCCCCUUUGCCUUCUGACAUGUUUGUAAGUUUCCUGAGGCCUUUCCAGGAGCCAAGCAGAUGCCAGCAUCAUGCUUCCUGUACAGCCUGAAGAACCGAGGAGAAGCAGCCAGAGCCUGAGGGGAAACCUGCCUCCAUUCUCCUCUCCAACUCUUUGUUUCUCAUCCUGGUGGAGUCAGAGAGGUUCCCAAGUGGAAGCUGCACCCGGCAUCUCAUCAGUGAGGGCCCCAGUUAGCAGGAACAUCAAAGGUAGAAAUGCUGGAACCUGAAAAAAAGAAUGCUCUGUCCAGCUUGAAAGAAGCAUUCUACUGAAGUGUGGUGAUAAGAUCCGGAUUAGAAUCAGCAUUGAUGGAUCAUAGAAGGAUUAAAGUGACAGGGUCCCAAAUCUUCACAAAACGUUUGCAGAUUUGUUUGUUUGGGUUUUUUCCAAGGACUUUAUCUUCCUUGCUUUAAUGUUUAUCCUUGGCUGUCUUAAUAAGGAGUGGUAUGGAAAACCCUUGUGAUGCCUCCUCCAAGUGAAC